CAGUAGCCGCGGGAAUACGAAGGGUGCAAGCGUUAAUCGGAAUUACUGGGCGUAAAGCGCGCGUAGGUGGUUUGGUAAGAUGGAUGUGAAAUCCCCGGGCUCAACCUGGGAACUGCAUCCAUAACUGCCUGACUAGAGUACGGUAGAGGGUGGUGGAAUUUCCUGUGUAGCGGUGAAAUGCGUAGAUAUAGGAAGGAACACCAGUGGCGAAGGCGACCACCUGGACUGAUACUGACACUGAGGUGCGAAAGCGUGGGGAGCAAACAGGAUUAGAGACCCCCGUAGUCCCUGUCUCUUAUAA
Molecule: ribosomal RNA, 301 nt
Filed under: uncultured bacterium
Lineage: Bacteria
Description: partial 16S ribosomal RNA
Rfam family: Bacterial small subunit ribosomal RNA
Source: RNAcentral